GAUGGCUGCUGGGGGAGUGAUUCACUGAGAGCUCUGUUAGAUUGGAGCGACCCUUGGAACCUGAUCCGGAUUAUACCGGCGUAGGGAAGCGACCUGACAACACC
This 104-nucleotide non-coding RNA is filed under the name Desulfuromonas acetoxidans. Its description in RNAcentral is "TPP sequence". It matches the Rfam family "TPP riboswitch aptamer (THI element)". Rfam says of the family: Vitamin B(1) in its active form thiamin pyrophosphate (TPP) is an essential coenzyme that is synthesised by coupling of pyrimidine and thiazole moieties in bacteria. The previously detected thiamin-regulatory element, thi box was extended, resulting in a new, highly conserved RNA secondary structure, the THI element, which is widely distributed in eubacteria and also occurs in some archaea. RNAcentral also lists the same sequence under 1 other name. The record is from RNAcentral. Lineage: Bacteria; Pseudomonadati; Thermodesulfobacteriota; Desulfuromonadia; Desulfuromonadales; Desulfuromonadaceae.